RNAcentral lists this ribosomal RNA (1446 nucleotides) under metagenome. RNAcentral's name for it is "bacterial SSU rRNA". It matches the Rfam family "Archaeal small subunit ribosomal RNA". The record is from RNAcentral.
AGCUGACCCUGCUGGCGAACACUGCUAUUGAGGUUCGAUUAAGACAUGCGAGUCUAAGAGACAAAGUUACGGUUGUCUCUGGCAAACGGCUCGGUAACACGUGGGUAAUCUACCCUUAGGAGGAGUUAAUCCCGGGAAACUGGGGAUAAUGCUCCAUAGUCACAAUAUGCUGGAACGCUUUUGUGACCAAAUGUGUCAGCUCCAUACAGCUGCCGUGCCUAAGGAUGAGCCUGCGGCGGACUAGGUUGUUGGUGGGGUAACUGCCCACCAAGCCGACGAUCCGUACGGGCCUUGAAAGAGGUAGCCCGGAGAAGGGAACUGAGACACGGUCCCUAGUCCUACGGGAUGCAGCAGUCGCGAAACCUCUACAAUGCACGAAAGUGUGAUAGGGGGACCUCAAGUGCUUGUUCUACAAGCUUUUGCUAACUUUAAAACGGUUGGCGAAUAAGUGGAGGGCAAGAUACGUGCCAGCCGCCGCGGUAACACGUACUCCGCAAGUGGUGUUCACUAAUAUUGGGCCUAAAACGUCUGUAGCCGGUUCAGUAAGUCUUCGGUUAAAUCGGCAAGCUUAACUUGUCACAUGCCAAAGAUACUGCUGAACUCGAGACCGGGAGAUGUGAAGGGAAUUUCCGGGGUAGCAGUGAAAUGCUAUGAUCCCGGAAGGACCACCAGUAGCGAAGGCGCUUCACAAGAACGGUUCUGACGGUGAGAGACGAAAGCUGGGGGAGCAACCCGGAUUAGAUACCCGGUUAGUCCCAGCCGUAAACGAUGUGGACUAGGUGUUCUGUUACCAUAAGGUACUGGAGUGCCACAGCGAAGGCGUUAAGUCUACUGCCUGGGGAGUAAGGUCGCAAGGCCGAAACUUAAUGGAAUUGGCGGGGGCGCACUACAAGGGGUGGAUGCUGCGGUUUAAUUGGAUUCAACCCCAGACAUCUCACCAGGACCGACAGCAGAAUGAUGGACAGUCUGAAGGGCUUUCCUGACGCGCUGAGAGGUGUUGCAUGGCCAUCGUCAGCUCGUACUAUGAAGCGUCCUGUUAGCUCAGGCAACGAGCGAGACCCACACUCUUAGUUGCUAUUCACCUAUUAGGUGGAGCACUCUAAGGGGACUGCUUGCGUAAGCAAGAGGAAGGAGUGGGUAACGGUAGGUCUGUAUGGCCCGAAUGUCCUGGGCGACACGCGGCAUACAAUGGUUGAGACAACGAGUUUCGAACCCGAAAGGGCAAGGCAAUCCCCUAACCUCAACCUCAGUUCGGAUUGAGGGUUGUAACUCACCCUCAUGAAGCUGGAAUCCCCAGUAAUCGUGUGUCAUUAUCGCACGGUGAAUAAGUCCCUGCGCCUUGCACACACUGCCCAUCAAGCCAGCUGAGUAGGGUUUGGAUGAGUUUUUCUCAUACGAGGAAAGCGAUUCUAAGUCUUGUAAGGCGGGCUAAGUUGUAACAAGGUG